CAUUGUUUACUGCACGAGAAAAACAAAGAAACACCCCACCCUCCCGACCCAUCCCGAUCUCACCUUCUUCUGGCUCCCAGCACGGCUCUGCCCCCAUCCUCUCACCGCUCCUGACACCGCCGGCCCCCGCCCGCUCCCCGGCUCCUGGCGCCGCCCGUCCCCAUCUCCCCCCGGCUCCCUGCGCCGCCCACACCCCACCUUCUCCUCGGAUCCCGGCGACUCCUCGCCCCCACCUCCUUCCUUGCUCCCGGCGCCCAAUCUCCUAGGAUCCCGGCGACGCCUCGCCCCCACCUCCUUCCUCGCUCCAGGCACCGCCCGACCCCCAACCUCCCUGGAUCUGGCGUCACUCCACCACCACCUCCUACAUCCCAUAGCAGCGGUCGCCCCUGCCGCCUGUGUGCGCCUCCGUCAUCCUCCCGGCGCCGGUUGUGCGCAUCGCCCCACGCCGCCUGCCACGCGAGCGCCCACCCCAAACCGCUGGCUCGCCGGCUUGCCAGGCAACCGCUGGCGUGUUCUUCCUCGGCCACCGCUAGCUCGCCGGCCGUUCACCUUCGCCACCUACUGAAGGUCGGCUUUUUGAAAUAGCCAUCAUGUAUACAACAACUACGGCAGUGGCCUUGGAUGCGCCCAACGAAGGACAACGAUAGGCAAAAAAAUGCUAGUGCAGCUGCUUGCCUCCUCUUCAUAUUCCAUACCAGAAAACAUCCUUCGCCCCUUUAUUUUCUUUAGUAAGUUUUCAUUAAAAGACCUCAGAAUAGCAAGUAGAAGUUCGGCACAAGGACCUACAUCAGUUCAACUACAGAAACAGAACAAGUCCAUGAGAUUAUAAUUAAGUUCAAAAUUACUACAUGGUCAUGUAUUUAACAGCAUGUCCAUGAAUUAGUACAUGAGAAGUACAAAAAAUACUACUGGUUAUAGUUCAUUUAAAUCAUGACAUCUGAAUUGGGGUCAACCCUUGCCACCAUGCUUCUACACGGCCGGACACCAUGCCUCCUUUCACCACCCCAUGGCAAGAGUUAGUUUGGUUGGAAAUUAUGUGCACUGAACUUGUCGAUUGUGUUGUAUCUGUGAGAGUUAAAUUUUUGUUUUAAAAGUUUACCAUUAAUUAGAACAAUUUUGAUGAACCGUGGGAGCUCAGUUAGCUGACAAAAAAUCUUUUGCUUAGUGCCUAUAUGAUACCAGGAGGCACUGUUCAUGUAAGAGGUUCAAAGAUUGUAGUGGAGCAAGUCUAGCUUCUUUUUCAGUUCAGAUCAAUUUCUAAAUUUCAUUCAGUUCAAGCCUUAUUGUAGUGUAAAGUUCAGUUGGAGGCAUUCGUCCAGCUGCCGAUGCAGUGCUGGCCAUUCUUGGCGCUGCCUAUGUUUGAUCAAAUGUCAAAGAGAACCUCAUCUAGCUCUCCGUGUCAUCUGUCAUGUGAGUGGCUGUGCUCAGUGAAUGCGUGCCUCAUCUAGCUCUUUUUGAUACCUUUGUUCUUCCAGUCCUUGUAGAAGACAGAGCUCCCAUGAUUCACACAUGGAACCCAGAUGAUUCCAUUUCUUCGUACCCCCAAGUGCUUUAAUGGUGGCACACUACGGGUUUCAGGUCGUGGAUUGCGCCCUGCACGUCGUUUCGCAAUGAGCCAGGAUAGAGGUUGUUGGACACUGUCGUGCACGCUGUGAGCAGCUGUGGCCGUUGGACACCCGUUCGGAGUUUUGGCCAAGAACCAUCGUCGGCCAGUAGGGUGUCACCUGAUUUUCGUGCAACAACGACCAUUGAACUUGGUAAGCCUUGCAUAGACAGGCUUCGCAAUGAUGAAUGCAUGAAGAUCUUUGUAGGUCCUGGCGACUGUGAUAAAGGCAAGUGCUUAAGUGGUUUUUGCUGAAGAAGAAUGGCCUAGCUUACCUGGCGUAGCAGUACUCAAAGUCAAGUAUCGAUGAUGUGGAAGCAUUGAAACUUUCCCUAGUUGCUUGACUUCAAUAACUAUGCCUUUUGAGAUCGUACCAUUUGGCUUUGUAUCGAACUUCUAGUCAUCAUGUUACAACCGUUCGAUGAAGAAAAUACAUUAGUCCAAAAGCA
Triticum urartu is the source of this 2052-nucleotide non-coding RNA. The record is from RefSeq and is a predicted model, not a curated record. NCBI's taxonomy places the organism in Eukaryota, Viridiplantae, Streptophyta, Magnoliopsida, Poales, Poaceae.